Molecule: ribosomal RNA, 495 nt
Filed under: uncultured bacterium
Lineage: Bacteria
Description: partial 16S ribosomal RNA
Rfam family: Bacterial small subunit ribosomal RNA
Source: RNAcentral
GACGAACGCUGGCGGCGUGCCUAAUACAUGCAAGUAGAACGCUGAAGGAGGAGCUUGCUCUUCUGGAUGAGUUGCGAACGGGUGAGUAACGCGUAGGUAACCUGCCUGGUAGCGGGGGAUAACUAUUGGAAACGAUAGCUAAUACCGCAUAAGAGUAGAUGUUGCAUGACAUUUACUUAAAAGGUGCAAUUGAAUCAAUACCAGAUGGACCUGCGUUGUAUUAGCUAGUUGGUGGGGUAACGGCUUACCAAGGCGACGAUACAUAGCCGACCUGAGAGGGUGAUCGGCCACACUGAGACUGAGACACGGCCCAGACUCCUACGGGAGGCAGCAGUAGGGAAUCUUCGGCAAUGGACGGAAGUCUGACCGAGCAACGCCGCGUGAGUGAAGAAGGUUUUCGGAUCGUAAAGCUCUGUUGUAAGAGAAGAACGAGUGUGAGAGUGGAAAGUUCACACUGUGACGGUAACUUACCAGAAAGGUACGGCUAACUACGUG